GCCGCGGCCUCGCGCCGUGGGACGGCGUCGCUCCCCGCCGGCUGCCGUUAGGGCUGGGAGCCGGCUGGGCGCGGGGGUAGUGAGGGUGCCUCUCGCCGUGGCUGCGCGGCGGCCUCGUCCGAGAGGCCGGCGCCGGGGCAGUGACCGGCCCGUGCCCAGCCGCCGCGCAGGGCGCCCGGGGCAGCUGGCCGAGCCCUCGAUGCCUCCCGUCUGACGGAGGCGCCCGGGAAGCGCCGCCCACCUCGGCCCCGCACCCUCGCCGGCCUGCCGGGUCUCCGCCAGCCCUAGCAGACAGAGAGGGGCGCCGGUCCCUAGUCCCCCAGACCUCCAUUCAAGGUCAAAACUUUGCCCAGCUCAGCCUUGCUCGACCCUGGGCAGGGAAGCGCGGACAUCGGCAGAGGGAGCCCGAGGCUCUCCGUGCCCUUCGCGCCGGUCAAGAACUGUGGAAUCUUUCAGAUGAUAUUCUGAUACUUCUGGACCAAGAUUGAAUUUGUUCUUCAUGAAAAAUGUCUGGGACCUUUUAUAUGGACGGGGAAUACCAACGUAGAGAUGGUCAAGAAAAUUUGCGCUCCGACCUAAACCAAGCACGUUGUAUGGUAGUUGGAGAGCUAAAUGUGGGAGGAGCCAAGAUGGCCGAAUAGGAAAAGCUCCGGUCUACAGCUCCCAGCGUGAGCAACGCAGAAGACGGGUGAUUUCUGCAUUUCCAUCUGAGGUACCGGGUUCAUCUCACUAGGGAGUGCCAGACGGUGGGUGCAGGGUGUACUCCAUCUACUUUUAAAAACAAAAAGUUCACUGUAAAACAGCCUCAGGUAGGCCGUUCAGUAGGUAUUCCAGAAGAAGGUAUUGUCAUCAUAGGAGAUGGACAGCUCCAAGGGUGUUUAUUGCCCCUGAAGACUUUCUAGUGGAACAAGAUGUGGAGGUGGAAGACACUGAUGUUGGUGAUCCUGACUCAGUGCAGGCCUAAGCUAAUGUGGGUGUUUGUGUCUUAGUUUUUAACUAAAGGUUUAAAAAGUAAAAAUAAAACAUUAAAAAAAAUUUUUGUACACCUGAACAAUGUCUUUGUGUUUUAAGCUAAGUUAUUACAAAAGGGUCAAAAA
This 1097-nucleotide long non-coding RNA is filed under the name Homo sapiens (human). RNAcentral's name for it is "HSALNT0385619". Lineage: Eukaryota; Metazoa; Chordata; Mammalia; Primates; Hominidae. The record is from RNAcentral.